GUUUGAUCCUGGCUCAGAACGAACGCUGGCGGCAUGCCUAACACAUGCAAGUCGAACGAACCUUCGGGGUUAGUGGCGCACGGGUGCGUAACGCGUGGGAACCUGCCUUUAGGUUCGGAAUAACAGUUAGAAAUGACUGCUAAUACCGGAUAAUGUCUUCGGACCAAAGAUUUAUUGCCUUUAGAUGGGCCCGCGUUGGAUUAGAUAGUUGGUGGGGUAAUGGCCUACCAAGUCGACGAUCCAUAGCUGGUCUGAGAGGAUGAUCAGCCACACUGGGACUGAGACACGGCCCAGACUCUACGGGAGGCAGCAGUGGGGAAUAUUGGACAAUGGGCGAAAGCCUGAUCCAGCAAUGCCGCGUGAGUGAUGAAGGCCUUAGGGUUGUAAAGCUCUUUUACCAGGGAUGAUAAUGACAGUACCUGGAGAAUAAGCUCCGGCUAACUCCGUGCCAGCAGCCGCGGUAAUACGGAGGGAGCUAGCGUUGUUCGGAAUUACUGGGCGUAAAGCGCACGUAGGCGGCUUUUCAAGUCAGGGGUGAAAUCCCGGGGCUCAACCCCGGAACUGCCCUUGAAACUGGAUGGCUAGAAUACUGGAGAGGUGAGUGGAAUUCCGAGUGUAGAGGUGAAAUUCGUAGAUAUUCGGAAGAACACCAGUGGCGAAGGCGACUCACUGGACAGUUAUUGACGGUGAGGUG
This 694-nucleotide ribosomal RNA is filed under the name Erythrobacter sp. GWS-BW-H262. Its description in RNAcentral is "bacterial SSU rRNA". It matches the Rfam family "Bacterial small subunit ribosomal RNA", at positions 11 to 753 of the family's 1533-position model. The record is from RNAcentral. Lineage: Bacteria; Pseudomonadati; Pseudomonadota; Alphaproteobacteria; Sphingomonadales; Erythrobacteraceae.